This 253-nucleotide ribosomal RNA is filed under the name uncultured bacterium. RNAcentral's name for it is "partial 16S ribosomal RNA". It matches the Rfam family "Bacterial small subunit ribosomal RNA", at positions 524 to 776 of the family's 1533-position model. The record is from RNAcentral.
UACGGGGGGGGCAAGCGUUGUUCGGAAUUACUGGGCGUAAAGGGCUCGUAGGCGGCCAACUAAGUCCGACGUGAAAUCCCCAAGCUUAACUUGGGAACUGCGUCGGAUACUGGAUGGCUUGAAUUCGGGAGAGGGAUGCAGAAUUCCAGGUGUAGCGGUGAAAUGCGUAGAUAUCUGGAGGAAUACCGGUGGCGAAGGCGGCAUCCUGGACCGACAUUGACGCUGAGGAGCGAAAGCUAGGGGGGCAAACGGG